AUCCCAGAUUCCAUUGCUUACAGAGGCACUUCAGGACCAAAGGCAUGUGAUUUUUUUUUUCUCAAUGAAAAAAAUAGUUUUUCAUAAGUUAAUGUUUUUCCUUCGAGACCUGGGCGCCUUUUCCUUAUCCAGCCUCUGCUUGUGGGGCUAAUUAGAUUUGAAGGGUAAAAUAAUACCAGACGCACGGUUGCGUGUGUUACAUGAGAAAUGUAUUAGCGGGAGCCAGAGGUUCUAAGAAGUGGAGCCCAGCGUGGGCCAGCCUGACAAGAAGAGGGGCGUCAUUGUGAAGACACCAGGCUGUUUCCCAGAACCAGAAACAAACGUGGCUGUGUAUGAUG
RNAcentral lists this long non-coding RNA (338 nucleotides) under Mus musculus (house mouse). Its description in RNAcentral is "long non-coding RNA chr4:57611534-57611872". Lineage: Eukaryota; Metazoa; Chordata; Mammalia; Rodentia; Muridae. The record is from RNAcentral.